AGAGUUUGAUCAUGGCUCAGAACGUACGCUGGCGGCACGCCUAACACAUGCAAGUCGAACGAAGUAGCAAUACUUAGUGGCAGACGGGUGAGUAACAUGUAGGUAUCUACCCUUUGGCCUGGAAUAACACGAGGAAACUUGUGCUAAUACCGGAUAAGUCUUUACGGAGAAAGCUUUAUGCACCAUUGGAUGAGCCUGCACUUGAUUAGUUUGUUGGUGGGGUAAUGGCCUACCAAGACUGUGAUCAAUAGCUGAUUUGAGAGGAUGAUCAGCCACAUUGGGACUGAGACACGGCCCAAACUCCUACGGGAGGCAGCAGUGGGGAAUCUUGCACAAUGGAGGAAACUCUGAUGCAGCGAUGCCGCGUGAGUGAAGAAGGCCCUUGGGUUGUAAAGCUCUUUCGUCGGGGAAGAAAAUGACUGUACCCGAAUAAGAAGGUCCGGCUAACUUCGUGCCAGCAGCCGCGGUAAUACGAAGGGACCUAGCGUAGUUCGGAAUUACUGGGCUUAAAGAGUUCGUAGGUGGUUGAAAAAGUUAGUGGUGAAAUCCCAGAGCUUAACUCUGGAACUGCCAUUAAAACUUUUCAGCUAGAGUAUGAUAGAGGAAAGCAGAAUUUCUAGUGUAGAGGUGAAAUUCGUAGAUAUUAGAAAGAAUACCAAUUGCGAAGGCAGCUUUCUGGAUCAUUACUGACACUGAGGAACGAAAGCAUGGGUAGCGAAGAGGAUUAGAUACCCUCGUAGUCCAUGCCGUAAACGAUGUGUGUUAGACGUUGGAAAUUUAUUUUCAGUGUCGCAGCGAAAGCGAUAAACACACCGCCUGGGGAGUACGACCGCAAGGUUAAAACUCAAAUGAAUUGACGGGGACCCGCACAAGUAGUGGAGCAUGUGGUUUAAUUCGAAGAUACGCGCAGAACCUUACCAACACUUGACAUGUUCGUCGCGACUCUAAGAGAUUAGAGUUUUCGGUUCGGCCGGACGAAACACAGGUGCUGCAUGGCUGUCGUCAGCUCGUGUCGUGAGAUGUUGGGUUAAGUCCCGCAACGAGCGCAACCCUCACUUUUAGUUGCCAUCAUUUAGUUGGGCACUCUGAAAGAACUGCCAGUGAUAAGCUGGAGGAAGGUGGGGAUGACGUCAAGUCCUCAUGGCCCUUACGUGUUGGGCUACACACGUGCUACAAUGGUAUCUACAACAGGAAGCAAGACUGCGAGGUCAAGCAAAUCCUUAAAAGAUACCUCAGUUCGGAUUGCACUCUGCAACUCGAGUGCAUGAAGCUGGAAUUACUAGUAAUCGUGGAUCAGCGUGCCACGGUGAAUGCGUUCCCGGGUCUUGUACACACCGCCCGUCACACCAUGGGAGUUGGUUCUACCUUAAGGCAAGGUUUAAAACCCUUGACCACGGUAUAGUCAGCGACUGGGGUGAAGUCGUAACAAGGUAGCCGUAGGGGAACCUGCGGCUG
This 1455-nucleotide ribosomal RNA is filed under the name Candidatus Pelagibacter communis. Its description in RNAcentral is "bacterial SSU rRNA". It matches the Rfam family "Bacterial small subunit ribosomal RNA". Lineage: Bacteria; Pseudomonadati; Pseudomonadota; Alphaproteobacteria; Candidatus Pelagibacterales; Candidatus Pelagibacteraceae. The record is from RNAcentral. RNAcentral also lists the same sequence under 1 other name.